UUCUGACAAUUACUGGAGAUGAUUUGACGCCAAAGUUUACAUCAUUUGAUUCUGUGCCACAUCCGAAUGUGAAACCUAUGGCCUAUGCAAACAGUUUGUUUGGUAUGUUUUAGUCAGCAGGAGUUUGACUCUAAGCCUGUGAAAUGAACACUGUAUAACCACGAUGUGACAGAGAAAUCACGGAGACCGCUAAUGGAAGGAAACGCCAAUCACCAAACUCAUGCAAACCCUGGAUACCAGAACUCAAUAUCAUCCUAUAUACAUGUAAUCUGAUUAUGUGACUGUCUUUGUUGUAUGUACUGAGGGUACAUAGUGAUGUGUACGCCUGAAGUAGCACCGCUGUAGUUCAGUGGUUGUUAUAUCGCGGUGGUGUCACUACCCGCUUGGUGUGUACCGGUCUAAAAUGUAGACCUGUGUCUUGGACUUGAAUAUAGAUGCUACUAUGUCAGUACUGUUUGUGGCAGCUGAUGUUUUUAUUGUCAGGAACUGCAAGUUUUAAUAAACUAUAAACAUUGAUCUUUUUUCUUUAAUAGAAUAGUAUUAUAUGCCAUCAUGGAUGACAAUGCAUUUGUGAAUAAAGAGAUCAGUGUGAAUCA
Molecule: long non-coding RNA, 596 nt
Organism: Magallana angulata
Lineage: Eukaryota; Metazoa; Mollusca; Bivalvia; Ostreida; Ostreidae
Exons: 2
Source: RefSeq, a predicted model, not a curated record